CCCUUAGAUGUCCUGGGCCGCACGCGCGCUACACUGAGUGUCUGAGAUACGAGUCUGCCUGGUCCGGCAAGGUCUAGGUAAUCGCUAAAAGACACAUCAUGCUUGGGAUAGAUUAUUGCAAAUAUUAAUCUUGAACGAGGAAUUCCUAGUAAACGCAAGUCAUCAGCUUGCAUUGAUUACGUCCCUGCCCUUUGUACACACCGCCCGUCGCUCCUACCGAUUGAAUGAUCCGAUGAAUAUCAUGGAUUGAGAGUACGAACAGGUUCGCUUGUUUCUGCUCCUCGAGAAGUGAAGUAAAUCUUAUCAUUUAGAGGAAGGAGAAGUCGUAACA
This 331-nucleotide ribosomal RNA is filed under the name uncultured eukaryote. RNAcentral's name for it is "partial 18S ribosomal RNA". It matches the Rfam family "Eukaryotic small subunit ribosomal RNA", at positions 1470 to 1796 of the family's 1831-position model. The record is from RNAcentral.